CCGACGCAGAGCUCCGCGGACGACAUCCGAGUGCGCGCGGAUUACCACGGCGGCCGGUUCCUCACGCUCACGUCCAUGAUCGGGGGGGCGAGCAGACCCGGCGAAGUUGGAAAAACCUGGUGGAAGCUGGAGGCGUCGGCUCCCCAGCAUCACCGGAAGAACUGGAAGGUGAUGCUGUGGGUGGUGGCGUCAUUGCUGAUACUAGUGGAAGACGUGUUUUCUGAAGAGGACAAUAAAAAGGGUCAAUCAGACCUCCGUCGUGUCCUCGGGCAGCCCUCCUCGUCCUCUGCUGAGGAUCUUG
Molecule: long non-coding RNA, 301 nt
Organism: Gasterosteus aculeatus aculeatus (three-spined stickleback)
Lineage: Eukaryota; Metazoa; Chordata; Actinopteri; Perciformes; Gasterosteidae
Source: Ensembl